This 431-nucleotide ribosomal RNA is filed under the name uncultured archaeon. RNAcentral's name for it is "bacterial SSU rRNA". It matches the Rfam family "Archaeal small subunit ribosomal RNA", at positions 474 to 903 of the family's 1478-position model. The record is from RNAcentral.
UACCAGCUCUCCGAGUUGUAGGGAUGAUUAUUGGGCUUAAAGCGUCCGUAGCUGGCUUAGCAAGUCUCCUGUUAAAUUCAGCGACCUAAUCGUUGAGCCGCGGGAGAUACUACUAGGCUAGGAGGCGGGGAGAGGUCGACGGUACUUUCGGGGUAGGGGUGAAAUCCUAUAAUCCCGGGAGGACCACCAGUGGCGAAGGCUGUCGACUAGAACGCGCUCGACGGUGAGGGACGAAAGCUGGGGGGAGCGAACCGGAUUAGAUACCCGGGUAGUCCCAGCUGUAAACUAUGCGGGCUAGGUGUUGGGGUGGCUACGGGCCACUUCAGUGCCGCAGGAAAGCCAUUAAGCCCGCCGCCUGGGGAGUACGGCCGCAAGGCUGAAACUUAAAGGAAUUGGCGGGGGAGCACCACAAGGCGUGAAGCUUGCGGUUC